UACGUAGGGACCGAGCGUUGUCCGGAAUCAUUGGGCGUAAAGAGCGUGUAGGCGGCCCCUUAAGUCCUGCGUGAAAUCCUGCGGCUCAACCGCAGACGGUCGUGGGAAACUGGAGGGCUAGAGUGCGGGAGAGGAGAGUGGAAUUCCCGGUGUAGCGGUGAAAUGCGCAGAUAUCGGGAAGAACACCCGUGGCGAAGGCGGCUCUCUGGAACGCAACUGACGCUGGGACGCGAAAGCGUGGGGAGCAAACAGG
This 253-nucleotide ribosomal RNA is filed under the name uncultured bacterium. Its description in RNAcentral is "partial 16S ribosomal RNA". It matches the Rfam family "Bacterial small subunit ribosomal RNA", at positions 524 to 776 of the family's 1533-position model. The record is from RNAcentral.